GAUGAACGCUGGCGGCGUGCUUAACACAUGCAAGUCGAACGGAAAGGCCCUGCUUUUGUGGGGUGCUCGAGUGGCGCACGCGUGAGUAACACAUGAGUAACCCGCCCUUGACUUUGUGAUAACUUCACGAAAAUCGGGAGAAUACCCGAUAUGAGCUCUUGCUGCAUGGUGGGGAUUGGAAAGUUUCGGCGGUUGUGGAUGUACUCGCGGCUUAUCAGCUUGUUGGUGUGGUAGUGGCUUACCAGGUCUUUGACGGGUAGCCCGCCUGAGCGGGCGACCGGCCACAUUUGUACUGAGGUACGGAGCAGCAUAGAACCGGACGCAGAAGUGGGGAGUAUUGCACAGCGGCUCGACGUCUGAUGCAGCAGCCCCCCGUCCGGGAUAACGGGCUUCGGGGUGUAAACCGUUGUGGACUGUGAUGAGCAGUUAGUGACGGUAAUGGGUCAUAAAGCACCGGCUAACUACGUG
Molecule: ribosomal RNA, 468 nt
Filed under: uncultured bacterium
Lineage: Bacteria
Description: partial 16S ribosomal RNA
Rfam family: Bacterial small subunit ribosomal RNA
Source: RNAcentral